RNAcentral lists this transfer RNA (86 nucleotides) under Mycobacterium algericum. RNAcentral's name for it is "Mycolicibacter algericus tRNA-Gln". RNAcentral also lists the same sequence under 1 other name. The record is from RNAcentral. Lineage: Bacteria; Bacillati; Actinomycetota; Actinomycetes; Mycobacteriales; Mycobacteriaceae.
UUGGCGUUGGCCAGGGCGUAGCCGGCGAUCUGAUCGCCGAGCAGGAUGCCGGCGUCGCUGUGAUAGUUCGGGAUCAUCACGUCGAU